Long non-coding RNA from Oreochromis aureus, 1602 nucleotides. Lineage: Eukaryota; Metazoa; Chordata; Actinopteri; Cichliformes; Cichlidae. The record is from Ensembl.
GGUCGGUGCUUCCCCUCUUCGCUGUCGCUCGUCUGGUGCACUUCCUCUAAGUACGUCGGCACACUUCUGCAUUUCUGUGUGUAUGUGUCUGCAGUGUAUGCUACGUACGUGUCAUGACCUCUCACUAUUUGUCUGUCUGUGCGUGCAGAGUUUGCAUCUGCUUUUCUGAUCCUUAGUUGACCUCAACUUAAGCAACCAACCAGGCUAAGGCCAUCCUGUGUGUAAUGAUCUUGACUUAUAUGUGAAAUAUAUAAACAACUGUUUCAAUCUACCACAACUGCUUAAGGCUUAAAUGUUCUAUCGGUCUUCAUCAGGCGAUUGACUGUCCUUUGAACUUCUUCUCUGCUUCAGGGACAAAGUGAGAGAUCCAGCCGCCCAAUUUCGAGCCAAAAACUGGCUUAUUCUCCCAAUUCUUUUAAUCUACUUUUCUGCUGCUGAACUCAAGGUUGCAAAGUUGAAAGACGCCCACCUGUAUUGACCAUAUAAUUAGUAUUAUAUUCAUUUUUUUCUUAAAGGCUUCAUUUGCUCCCAUUUCCUCGUCUGUCUCUCUGUGUUCUUUCUGCACACACUCAGUUCCCAUAUAUGGGCAUGCACAGUUCCUGUUCACUAUUUCCUGUUGCUGCAGCCCCGAUACACAGAGCAAUAUUUCCUGUUCCUCAAACUAAUCUAACUCCUUUGUUUUUGUUUUCUUGAAUUAAAAACACUUUCAAACUUUAGCACAUCCUACUUUUCAUCACCCAAGAAAUAUAUUUCACACUCCUUUAUUCCAUACACACCUUUAAAAGUUCUCACCUCUUUCAGACGCCAUAAAUCGUCUCACACGCACUGCCUUUCUCUCACUCAGAGAACUCACGCAGAGUCACUCAAAUCAAAUACUGACAGCACUCACACAGUUAAAAUCACUCGAAAUACGCUUUCAUACGAGUAUUUUGGACAUGCCUUCCAUGAUCAGAAAGAGCAAGUCAAAAGAAAAGAAAAAGAAAACUGAAACCUCUCAUCAUCCUCACGGCUUCUCCCCACACACAUAACUGAAAAUGAACACACCAACAUUUAUGGCUCACGAACUAUACAUCUAUCAAAAUUCAGUCAUUUACUAUGCAUCCACACUAAUAUAUUCACACUGUAUUUACACUCUCAUAAUAAGCAAAACCAACCUCUUAUAUACAGGCAUUUAGCAAAAAGCUCAGUCCUCUCGAAAACUGAAACCACCCUCUUUGCGCGUCACUGCUGCUCAUUUGCAUUUACACACACAAUCAGUGCACAUCCGGCUGUGCAUCACUAACACAGAGACUGAUCCUACUCAUAGAUCUCAUAUUUUAUAUUACAGACGUCUUAAAUUACAACUGCACAGAUUUUUUUUAGGCCUUUUCAACUCCUAUGUAAUUUCGAUAAUAGAACAUAACGGCUCCAACCGAUCAGUCCCAGACUUUUUGUGCUCAAUUCACCAGGGCGGUCCCAGACUGUCCUGUCCAGAUCUCUAAACCUAACUUAAUUUGCCAGCAUACCCAAUAAGCGCAAAAAAUAGGAGACUCUAACUCCUAGCAAUUUCAGAGGUUCCCAAGUUCUCUCCGCUGUCGACGGUACUAUCCCUACUGUCCAGUA